Molecule: ribosomal RNA, 450 nt
Filed under: uncultured bacterium
Lineage: Bacteria
Description: bacterial SSU rRNA
Rfam family: Bacterial small subunit ribosomal RNA
Source: RNAcentral
GAUGAACGCUGGCGGCGUGCUUAACACAUGCAAGUCGAACGAAGCGCUUGGAUGGAAUUCUUCGGAAGGAAGCUCAAGUGACUGAGUGGCGGACGGGUGAGUAACGCGUGGGUAACCUGCCUCAUACAGGGGGAUAACAGUUAGAAAUGGCUGCUAAUACCGCAUAAGCACACGUGAUCGCAUGAUCGAGUGUGAAAAACUCCGGUGGUAUGAGAUGGACCCGCGUCUGAUUAGCUAGUUGGUGGGGUAACGGCCCACCAAGGCGACGAUCAGUAGCCGGCCUGAGAGGGUGAACGGCCACAUUGGGACUGAGACACGGCCCAAACUCCUACGGGAGGCAGCAGUGGGGAAUAUUGCACAAUGGGGGAAACCCUGAUGCAGCGACGCCGCGUGAAGGAUGAAGUAUUUCGGUAUGUAAACUUCUAUCAGCAGGGAAGAAAAUGACGGUAC